CCUACGGGAGGCAGCAGUGAGGAAUAUUGGUCAAUGGACGAGAGUCUGAACCAGCCAAGUAGCGUGAAGGAUGACUACCCUAUGGGUUGUAAACUUCUUUUAUGAAGGAAUAAAACGAGGCACGUGUGCCUUUUUGCAUGUACUUUAUGAAUAAGGAUCGGCUAACUCCGUGCCAGCAGCCGCGGUAAUACGGAGGAUCCGAGCGUUAUCCGGAUUUAUUGGGUUUAAAGGGAGCGUAGAUGGGUUGUUAAGUCAGUUGUGAAAGGUUGCGGCUCAACCGUAAAAUUGCAAUUGAUACUGGCAGUCUUGAGUACAGUUGAGGUAGGCGGAAUUCGUGGUGUAGCGGUGAAAUGCUUAGAUAUCACGAAGAACCCCGAUUGCGAAGGCAGCUUACUAAACUGUGACUGACAUUGAUGCUCGAAAGUGUGGGUAUCAAACAGGAUUAGAUACCCUUGUAGUC
This 460-nucleotide ribosomal RNA is filed under the name uncultured bacterium. RNAcentral describes it as "partial 16S ribosomal RNA". It matches the Rfam family "Bacterial small subunit ribosomal RNA", at positions 338 to 795 of the family's 1533-position model. The record is from RNAcentral.